GGGCGGUUAGCUCAGCGGGAGAGCAACUGCCUUACACGCAGUGGGUCACAGGUUCGAACCCUGUACCGCCCACCA
This 75-nucleotide transfer RNA is filed under the name Candidatus Wallbacteria bacterium. RNAcentral's name for it is "tRNA-Val". It matches the Rfam family "tRNA". From Rfam's summary of the family: Transfer RNA (tRNA) molecules are approximately 80 nucleotides in length. Their secondary structure includes four short double-helical elements and three loops (D, anti-codon, and T loops). Further hydrogen bonds mediate the characteristic L-shaped molecular structure. tRNAs have two regions of fundamental functional importance: the anti-codon, which is responsible for specific mRNA codon recognition, and the 3' end, to which the tRNAs corresponding amino acid is attached (by aminoacyl-tRNA synthetases). tRNAs cope with the degeneracy of the genetic code in two manners: having more than one tRNA (with a specific anti-codon) for a particular amino acid; and 'wobble' base-pairing, i.e. permitting non-standard base-pairing at the 3rd anti-codon position. The record is from RNAcentral. Lineage: Bacteria; Candidatus Walliibacteriota.